AGUGAACGCUGGCGGUAGGCCUAACACAUGCAAGUCGAACGGCAGCACAGUAAGAGCUUGCUCUUACGGGUGGCGAGUGGCGGACGGGUGAGGAAUACAUCGGAAUCUACUUUUUCGUGGGGGAUAACGUAGGGAAACUUACGCUAAUACCGCAUACGACCUACGGGUGAAAGCAGGGGAUCUUCGGACCUUUCGCGAUUGAAUGAGCCGAUGUCGGAUUAGCUAGUUGGCGGGGUAAAGGCCCACCAAGGCGACGAUCCGUAGCUGGUCUGAGAGGAUGAUCAGCCACACUGGAACUGAGACACGGUCCAGACUCCUACGGGAGGCAGCAGUGGGGAAUAUUGGGCAAUGGGCGCAAGCCUGAUACAGCCAUACCGCGUGGGUGAAGAAGGCCUUCGGGUUGUAAAGCCCUUUUGUUGGGAAAGAAAAACAGCAGGUUAAUACCCCGCUGUUCUGACGGUACCCAAAGAAUAAGCACCGGCUAACUUCGUG
This 492-nucleotide ribosomal RNA is filed under the name uncultured bacterium. RNAcentral's name for it is "partial 16S ribosomal RNA". It matches the Rfam family "Bacterial small subunit ribosomal RNA", at positions 29 to 507 of the family's 1533-position model. The record is from RNAcentral.